UGGGCCAACGGCGGUGGAGUUCGCCGAAACCGUCCCCGCUCAUUGGGGGGACUGAUGACUCCUACUCGAGG
RNAcentral lists this non-coding RNA (71 nucleotides) under Acidobacteriota bacterium. Its description in RNAcentral is "Acidobacteria bacterium Fluoride sequence". It matches the Rfam family "Fluoride riboswitch aptamer (crcB RNA motif)". The record is from RNAcentral. Lineage: Bacteria; Pseudomonadati; Acidobacteriota.